RNAcentral lists this non-coding RNA (354 nucleotides) under Ipomoea nil (Japanese morning glory). Its description in RNAcentral is "Eukaryotic large subunit ribosomal RNA". It matches the Rfam family "Eukaryotic large subunit ribosomal RNA", at positions 3068 to 3399 of the family's 3401-position model. The record is from Rfam by way of RNAcentral. Lineage: Eukaryota; Viridiplantae; Streptophyta; Magnoliopsida; Solanales; Convolvulaceae.
CACCCUCGUACCGCAUAAGUCCGCAACCUCGCACCUCGUACCGCAUAGUCCGCUCGGGGCGAAGCUACCGUGCGUUGGAUUAUGACUGAACGCCUCUAAGUCAGAAUCCGGGCUAGACCGACGCAUGCGCUCGUCGCCCGUUGCCGACCCGCAGUAGGGGCCAUUUGCCCCAAGGGCACGUGUCGUUGCUAAGCCGUCGUGGCGGGGUCACGGUGGCCGCUUGAAUUACAAUUCCGAUCGAGCGGCGAGCUGAAUCCUUUGCAGACGACUUAAAUACGCGACGGGGUAUUGUAAGGGGUAGAGUGGCCUUGCUGCCACGAUCCUCUGAGAUUCAGCCCUUUGUCGCUCCGAUUC